AGCAAUCAAUCCCCAAUCUCUCCCCUUCAAGUAGUGGUAUAUCUUAGCAAGUAAUUACAUCACAACUCAGUGGUUCAUGGGUGGCCUAGAAAAGAAGCAGCCCCCCAGUGGAAGAACUAUACAACUCGCCCUCCACGAAUCACAUACACUGGACUCCGCAGCAGCACUCACAAACCUCUCUAGGACUAGCGCCGGCGUGUAAAAUGCCGGCGCGUCUACACCGUCACCAUCACCAUACACUCACGAGAACUUGGAGGUGUUGAGCCUGCCCCACCACUUCCGCUUGGCCGAGUUGGGGGAGGACUCGUUGCCGCCGCCGCCGCCGCUCGCGAGCUUGUUCAGGAUCACCUUGGUCUCCCUGAUGCGGGAGCCGAAGUCCUUCUUCCACGAGUCGAAGUUCUGCUUCAGCCUGCGGAGCUCCACGUCCGGGUUCAGGCUCGCGUCCGCCUGCCCGGACUUGACCUCCACCAGGAACUUGGCGUCGUCGGCGAACACCUGGCUCCGCUGCUCCAGCUCCUCCGCCAGCCGCCCGAUGACGCUCAUGCUGGCGUUCAU
Molecule: ribosomal RNA, 555 nt
Filed under: Triticum aestivum (bread wheat)
Lineage: Eukaryota; Viridiplantae; Streptophyta; Magnoliopsida; Poales; Poaceae
Description: partial small subunit ribosomal RNA
Source: RNAcentral